Molecule: long non-coding RNA, 508 nt
Filed under: Nicotiana benthamiana
Lineage: Eukaryota; Viridiplantae; Streptophyta; Magnoliopsida; Solanales; Solanaceae
Description: long non-coding RNA (NBEN_LNC015819)
Source: RNAcentral
GACCCUGAACCACUUGUGAGGGGAGAAUAUAAUAUACUCUCGUGUAUAGCGUAUAUCAAAUUUAUAUAGAUAACUUUGUUCUCAUAAGCAAUAAUUUAGUUAUUAAAUGGAGGCAUUCAAUAAAUUAUUUUGCUAAACCAACUAUGAUGUAAACCAACUUAUCAAGAUGAACUAUAUUGAAUAGAAAAUCUGGAAAUUAUGCUCGAAAUUAGAUUACUGAGCAAUUUACCUCGCAAGCACCGGCCAGGCUGCAGGUUAAUAAUAAUCGCACAUGUAACUAUAUCAUAGAUGCAUCAUAUGUGGUAUACAUGGCACGCGAAUGGGCCCAUAUUCACCUUUGAUAUUUCCAGAAUUCAUGGGAUUCAACCCCAACUUUAGUUGGUUUAUUAAUUAAUGAGAACAAGACAAUAUAGGAGAAUCCGUAAAGAACUUUCUAGUUCUUUAGUAUUUACCCAUAUAGAUUCUCGUUUAUUUUGCACAUCAUACUUUAAUUAAUAUGACUAAACCA